This 2695-nucleotide long non-coding RNA is filed under the name Coffea arabica (coffee). Its description in RNAcentral is "long non-coding RNA (CARA_LNC001939)". The record is from RNAcentral. Lineage: Eukaryota; Viridiplantae; Streptophyta; Magnoliopsida; Gentianales; Rubiaceae.
UUUUUUUUUUUUGUGAGAGCAGUUUGAAGCAUACAAGCACUGAAUGGCUUUUGAGUGAAAAAAUCUCAAUAUCUCAAUAUCAUAACUAGGUUAUACGAAAGCUGAAAUUGUUUGAUUGUCUAUAAUUUUGCAUGUGUCCAUCCGACUAUGAUGAAUCUGAACAUUGUAGUUGUGUGAUAAUGUAACUGUACCGCUUGAUUCUUGAUUGAAACACAAUCCUGGUUGCCUGUGGAUUUUGGCCGCUAUCCUUUUUGCCAGAAACUGAAUCUUGUAAUUAUAUAGGAGAAUGCUGGCAUGAUUUGAAAAGCCUUAAAGAUAUAUUGUGCCAGAUAAUGUAGUGAACCAUUCUCAGGCAUAACUAAACUUGGCACAAACUUCAUUUGGCUAUGAGCAGCAAUAAGGGAAUUACGCCAUGGUUUGAUCUUAACCUCAACGGCUAUUAAACUAUUACUAUAAUCAACUAUCAAACUAUUUUCCGUCUCAAAUAAGUCACUCACCUAAUUAGUCACUAUAUUAGGACCCAUUUCGGCAGUUUUAAGUUAAUUUAGAUGAUAAGCCCAACACGCAACUUACAUGCCAAAACUUAUAGGCAAAUAUGUCCGUCCACAAGAAGGGUCUUCUCAACACAAGGACACAUUUACCAAAUUGUGGGUGGACAUAUUUACCUAUAAAUUUUAACAUACCUAUAACUUUUAACAUUUGAGUUGCGCGUGUUUGGUUUACCUUGUAAAUUAAGAGCUAAAUCUGAUGAAAUGGCCAUCAGUCUACUAAUUAGUUUGUUGAGUGGCAUGUUGGAAAAUAGUUUGAAUGGUUAAAAAUUGACGACGAGAAUAGUUCAAUGGCUGUUGAGGUUUUUUGCCAUAACAAUUUCCAAUUACAAGGUACCAUUGUUUAUCAGGGCAUGUGAAAGACAAAAAAGGAAAGGGUUAUGUGUUAAGCGUUGGUGGGGUUAUCAAUCCAACUGCACCAUCCAAUUCAUCAAUUAUGAUUCCUAUUGAGCUGCAUGAGCUUGGCUUGAUUUGGACCGUUGAUCUCAAAAUUUGAAAUUUAAAAUCAACAGUCCAAAUUGAAUCGAGCUCAUGUAGUUCGAUCAGUACCAUGAAUGAUAUCAUAUGGUUAGAUUGAACUACUUCAGAUUAUCUAUCAAAAAUCAAUCAUAGGUUUAGUUGUAAUCUUUUUGAACAUCUUUUUCAUCAGUUCCUAAAAUGGAAACGACUUGAUUGAUUUGUAUGCAACUAUACCAGAAGAUAUAAGAGCAAAAAUACAACAAAAUUGUGAAAAAAGAAGGAAAAGAGGAGAGCUGUGAAACAUACUCAUGCAGUGAUCAACACACAAGAUAUAACAGGCGAAUUCCAGUUCCUCCCACUUCUGACAGAUAUUGGGACAUUCCCGGGCGCAAGGUGAAUCCGCCUCCACCUCAUGGUUCAAAACAAGAACAAGAACUAGAACAGCAAACAAAAGAGCUUGCACUCUCCCCAUUCUUCUUGUUUUUCCUCUCUAGUUGUUUUUCUUUUAUUGAAUGCUAGAUGGCCUGUGGCCCAUGAGAGUGUUAGUUUUGUGGAUGGGGCUAUUUAAAGCAUUUGUUUGUUGGGGGAAAGGGGGGGGGGGUAUGUUCUGUUCUGGUCAAAUAUGUUCAGAAUAAUAGAAUCUAAAGUUCCUUAUUCUAUGGUUGGAAUUGGUUAAAAAAAAAUUAUUAGCUGGAUGAUGUCUUUGCUAUUCUAGAUGAAGAGAUCCUCCCAAUUUCUCAGGUGCACCUCAAAUUGGUUCUCAAUUUACCAAUCAUGUACAUAUAUGAUAUGUACACUGCUUUUGACUGUUUCUUGAAAUCUUGAAUUACAGCUCAAGGUUGGUAUUAAACAGUUGGAAAUUAACUUGAUUCUGAUUUUUGACCACAAUAUUCAACGUUUCUGAUCAAUGCAAUUGCAAAGCAUUCGGCAGUGCCAUUUCCAUUUUUAUUUGCCAGACAUCAAUUUCGUUGUACCUAAGCCAAUCUAAGUCUUUGAGAGGUGCAUUUGUCCGAGUUCUCAUUCAUUGUAAAAUGAAUUCAGUGGAAAAAAAUCUUUUUCCGUUUCUUACAAAAAGAAAAAGGAACAUUUUAUUCCAUCUAUUUCUUACUUAUUUAGGCCUUUAAUUUUUUUUUUAAAACUAUAACAGUUUAGGCCUUUUAUGAAGCCACAUAAUUUGAUAGAGUAAGGUAUCUCAUAUAUCUUUUAAUUUUUCUCAAGAUAAACCAAAUUUUUUAUGCACACAAACACAUUCAAAUAUAAAACUUCUGUACUAACAUUUUUCUUGAAGAAGUUUGGUGAAUUUUGGAUGUUAACAGUGGACGAUGCUUUUGGGAGAACUUUGAAAAAAGGGACCACUAAACAAGGGACAGAUAGAAGAAGCAUAAAAAAUCAAUGAAAGAUUGCCAUUUAGGAUGGAAGAUUGCCAUAAAAAAUCACUUGGCAGACAGAUUUCAAGACAAGAACUGAAUAGGGCUGUAUUGAGCAUUGAUAUAAUUGACAAGUUGCAUUCUUGAUUAAAUGAAUUACAUUAGAUACAUAAUGCACAUACAGGCUCUUCUGACCUUCAGUUUCCUCCUACUUAAUGGUGCUGGCAGUUCCCUCCUGCUCUUCAGGCAAACUGCAGUGUUUUUGUAUCCGCUCCCUAAGUCAAUAAUGUAUCGCAUCUCAUUGAUGAAGAAAAGAAUUUU